CAUGCUGCGCGGAAAUGGGGCGACACAGCGGGUCAAACCAGGACACCGUCCCGUGCCAGGCAUCCCCCUCUGAGAGACCCGUUGUGACAAAUCUACUGUAAACUGGCACCUGAGUUUACGGUAAAAUGGUUUAAAAAAACGAAAUAUUGAUCUGCAUUGAAAAGUAUCCUGCAUCAGUUCCUACACAGAUUCAUUCUUGUCUGUUGUUAGUGGUUAAACGGGAGUUCUCCUACCCACAGGAAUGUGUCGGCCAGAAGCCCUGAGAUGUGAGUUAUUUGUGCUCUUCCUUCUGAAUCCCUGAGAUGUGAGUUAUUUGUGCUCUUCCUUUUGAAUCCCUGAGAUGUGUGUUAUUUGUGCUCUUCCUUUUGAAUCCCUGAGAUGUGAGUUAUUUGUGCUCUCCGUUCUGAAUCCCUGAGAUGUGAGUUAUUUGCUCCAUUCUGAAUCCCUGAGAUGUGAGUUAUUUGCUCCAUUCUGAAUCCCUGAGAUUUCAGUUAUUUGCGCUCUCUGUUCCAAAGGUCCCGGCCCAGCCGGUCCGGGGUUUCCGCCCCUGCACACAGGGGCACCGUCCUGAAACAGGAAUGGGACGGCUGCAGCUGCCGCCCCCCCCACAGCUGCACUGAGCCGAGGCUGUUUUUCGGGUGGAGUGGGACUCCAACGGACCCAUGGCACAGUUGUUCCCCUCUAUGGAGUGUUUUUUGCCAAGAGCGGUUUCUGACACGUUCAGUGCGCGGAGCUUCCUGUACCAAACGAAACACGAACAAACAAACAACAGACAAACACAACCCCCUGCAUCUGCGAGAGAAACAUCUGGUAAGAAACGAGUACUUUUCCCCACGCUAUUUUUUUUUUUUUUUGUCUUUCAAAUCCUUACACAAUUAGUGUGACGGUCCAGCGUCCAGAUUGCUACACUGAUGCGUUCCAGGAUGAAGCCAGGUCCAAGUUCCGGACGCUGAACACCAUUCCAAAUUGGAGUGAAAGAGCAUUCCGGAACAGGCCGAUGUUCCGCGUGCACGUUUCCCCCAGGCAGAAUGAGGUUAGGACUCCGUUACUGUUUCUAAAGUGAAUCUUUCACUUCAGCAUCUGGCGUCGUAUGUUUUUGUUGUUGUUGUUCUUGUUAAUGGACACCCAUCACAGAACAGGAUCCCCUUGUGAUCCCAGUCCUCGGGGGGAGGUGGUUUUUUACAAAGCAAGCAGUCCCAAGUUUCUUUUAUUUUUUUUCUCAGCCACUGUCUCCAGUGUUGGCACAAGGCCGCUGUGCCUUUUAAAACAUAUAUUCCGAAUACAACUCU
Molecule: long non-coding RNA, 1289 nt
Organism: Anguilla anguilla (European eel)
Lineage: Eukaryota; Metazoa; Chordata; Actinopteri; Anguilliformes; Anguillidae
Exons: 2
Source: RefSeq, a predicted model, not a curated record